AUUGAACGCUGGCGGCAGGCCUAACACAUGCAAGUCGAGCGGAUGAAGGGAGCUUGCUCCUGGAUUCAGCGGCGGACGGGUGAGUAAUGCCUAGGAAUCUGCCUGGUAGUGGGGGAUAACGUCCGGAAACGGGCGCUAAUACCGCAUACGUCCUGAGGGAGAAAGUGGGGGAUCUUCGGACCUCACGCUAUCAGAUGAGCCUAGGUCGGAUUAGCUAGUUGGUGGGGUAAAGGCCUACCAAGGCGGGGAUCCGUAACUGGUCUGAGAGGAUGAUCAGUCACUGAGAACGUGAAACGCGACCCUGACUCUUAGGGACGGCCCAGGUGGGAAAGGUAGGCAACGGGGGGAAAGCUUGAACAAGCCGGGCCAGGGGGGUGAAGAGGUGCUUCGAGUGGUAAGGCACUUUACGUGGGGGGAACGGCCGGUAGUUUAGAACCUGGCUGUUUGACGUUACCAACAGAAUAAGCACCGGCUAACUUCGUG
RNAcentral lists this ribosomal RNA (483 nucleotides) under uncultured bacterium. RNAcentral describes it as "partial 16S ribosomal RNA". It matches the Rfam family "Bacterial small subunit ribosomal RNA", at positions 29 to 507 of the family's 1533-position model. The record is from RNAcentral.